UACAGAAGCCUCAAGCGUUACCCGGAUUUAUUGGGCGUAAAGGAUGUGUAGGUGGUGUGAUUAGUCUUGUGUUAAAUCUUCAGGCUUAACCUGGAGCUCGCGCGAGAAACGGUCAUACUAGAGGAAGUGAGAGGUGUGUGGAACUCAAGGUGUAGGGGUGAAAUCCGUUGAUAUCUUGGGGAACACCAAAAGCGAAGGCAACACACUGGCACUUUCCUGACACUGAAACAUGAAAGCGUGGGUAGCGAAUCGG
RNAcentral lists this ribosomal RNA (253 nucleotides) under uncultured bacterium. RNAcentral's name for it is "partial 16S ribosomal RNA". It matches the Rfam family "Bacterial small subunit ribosomal RNA", at positions 524 to 776 of the family's 1533-position model. The record is from RNAcentral.